UACGAAGGGGGCUAGCGUUGCUCGGAAUUACUGGGCGUAAAGGGAGCGUAGGCGGGCUAUCAAGUUGGGGGUGAAAGCCCGGGGCUCAACCUCGGAAUUGCCUUCAAAACUGAUAACCUGGAGUAUGGAAGAGGUAAGUGGAACUCCGAGUGUAGAGGUGAAAUUCGUAGAUAUUCGGAAGAACACCAGUGGCGAAGGCGACUUACUGGUCCAUUACUGACGCUGAGGCUCGAAAGCGUGGGGAGCAAACAGG
This 253-nucleotide ribosomal RNA is filed under the name uncultured bacterium. Its description in RNAcentral is "partial 16S ribosomal RNA". It matches the Rfam family "Bacterial small subunit ribosomal RNA", at positions 524 to 776 of the family's 1533-position model. The record is from RNAcentral.